RNAcentral lists this ribosomal RNA (465 nucleotides) under Vreelandella stevensii. RNAcentral describes it as "partial 16S ribosomal RNA". It matches the Rfam family "Bacterial small subunit ribosomal RNA", at positions 338 to 795 of the family's 1533-position model. The record is from RNAcentral. Lineage: Bacteria; Pseudomonadati; Pseudomonadota; Gammaproteobacteria; Oceanospirillales; Halomonadaceae.
CCUACGGGGGGCUGCAGUGGGGAAUAUUGGACAAUGGGGGCAACCCUGAUCCAGCCAUGCCGCGUGUGUGAAGAAGGCCCUCGGGUUGUAAAGCACUUUCAGUGAGGAAGAACGCCUGGUGGUUAAUACCCAUCAGGAAAGACAUCACUCACAGAAGAAGCACCGGCUAACUCCGUGCCAGCAGCCGCGGUAAUACGGAGGGUGCGAGCGUUAAUCGGAAUUACUGGGCGUAAAGCGCGCGUAGGUGGCUUGAUAAGCCGGUUGUGAAAGCCCCGGGCUCAACCUGGGAACGGCAUCCGGAACUGUCAAGCUAGAGUGCAGGAGAGGAAGGUAGAACUCCCGGUGUAGCGGUGAAAUGCGUAGAGAUCGGGAGGAAUACCAGUGGCGAAGGCGGCCUUCUGGACUGACACUGACACUGAGGUGCGAAAGCGUGGGUAGCAAACAGGAUUAGAUACCCGAGUAGUC